GGCCUCAUUUUUCCUUGUUCGGGGUUUGAGGUGCCACCUUACAAAAGGAUGGGUGUACGCUCUCUUUUCAGAAUGUGGUUCAUCUCAAAGCCCUUUACACUUUGGAGCCAGGCCUGUUCAAUUUUACAAAUAACACGUUUUGCUUGUAGUCAGGGUGCUGUGACAACAUGAAGAGUUCGAGCUACCUCCCAGGAUGAGUGCAGGUUUUCCUGGUGACAAAUCUCAGGCAUUCAAAGGUUCUGUUAGCAGUGCCAUACUUGUGGGUUUACAGAGAUGGUGUGUCUGGCUGAGAACAAAGGAGCCGUACCAGGAAAGUUGAAGCAUAUCUUCAUUUUCAAGUCCAGGCUAAAAUAAGGUGAGAAAACUUAGAUGAAAAGUAUGCUGAACUAUAAUUUCCCCAUGAAGAAAUGUUCACACGUCCUACUUCCUGUCCUAGCUCCAGAGCCUGAAAAGGUGAACCCACUGGGGCUGGCUGGGGGAAAAGAGGAAACUUUGUUCCAGAAGGAACUGUCUGAGGGAUCAUUUUUGUGCGUAGAAAGGGAAGAAUUCUCACUUGAUUAAAGAGGAAUCAAAAGGUGAUUUACUUGUUUUACAGGUCUGAGGAAAAGAAUGAGCUGCGUGUGAAGGAUAGGAACAGAAAUCAUGAAAGAUCUGUUUGUCCAGGCCAGUGUUUCACCAUAAGAGAUCACUUUAAAAUAAAUGAUGAAAUAAUUCUUUGCAAUUGCAAAUUUACCUUCCUUGCUUACCACAUUGUUAACUGUAGGAGCUGAUACCUGGUUCUUCCACUGUUAACUUGUACUCUGUGUUUGUUCUAGCAAUAAAUGCUCUUUAUGCUA
RNAcentral lists this long non-coding RNA (836 nucleotides) under Mus musculus (house mouse). RNAcentral describes it as "small nucleolar RNA host gene 1". The stretch from base 395 to 520 matches the Rfam family "Small nucleolar RNA SNORD22". Lineage: Eukaryota; Metazoa; Chordata; Mammalia; Rodentia; Muridae. The record is from RNAcentral.